UUUUCUCUUUUUUUAACUACACCGUUACCUCCUUUUCCUCUGAGAUUUUUGCUCAUCGACUGAGAGAGGAGCAGAGCGUUGCUAGGGUUUAAAAGGCCAUGGCAGGAUCAGGGAGUUCGAUGCUAUAUUCAUUUCUUUUAUUUACUGUCAUUCUCUCACUCCAAAUGAUGUAUCGAGAUAAGUUAGCUUCGUCGGAACUUUUCACAAUACUUGGUGGAUUCAGUAGCUCCCUCUUGUUUCUUGUGUUACUAACAUUCAUUGGGAAUUUC
Long non-coding RNA from Hibiscus syriacus, 269 nucleotides. RefSeq lists it as uncharacterized. The record is from RefSeq and is a predicted model, not a curated record. The transcript is spliced from 3 exons. Lineage: Eukaryota; Viridiplantae; Streptophyta; Magnoliopsida; Malvales; Malvaceae.